Molecule: ribosomal RNA, 1099 nt
Filed under: Lactiplantibacillus plantarum
Lineage: Bacteria; Bacillati; Bacillota; Bacilli; Lactobacillales; Lactobacillaceae
Description: bacterial SSU rRNA
Rfam family: Bacterial small subunit ribosomal RNA
Source: RNAcentral
CAUGGACGAAAGUCUGAUGAGCAACGCCGCUGAGGGAAGAAGGGUUUCGGCUCGUAAAACUCUGUGUAAAGAAGAACAUAUCUGAGAGUAACUGUCAGGUAUUGACGGUAUUUAACCAGAAAGCACGGCUAACUACGUGCCAGCAGCCGCGGUAAUACGUAGGUGGCAAGCGUUGUCCGGAUUUAUUGGGCGUAAAGCGAGCGCAGGCGGUUUUUUAAGUCUGAUGUGAAAGCUUUCGGCUCAACCGAAGAAGUGCAUCGGAAACUGGGAAACUUGAGUGCAGAAGAGGACAGUGGAACUCCAUGUGUAGCGGUGAAAUGCGUAGAUAUAUGGAAGAACACCAGUGGCGAAGGCGGCUGUCUGGUCUGUAACUGACGCUGAGGCUCGAAAGUAUGGGUAGCAAACAGGAUUAGAUACCCUGGUAGUCCAUACCGUAAACGAUGAAUGCUAAGUGUUGGAGGGUUUCCGCCCUUCAGUGCUGCAGCUAACGCAUUAAGCAUUCCGCCUGGGGAGUACGGCCGCAAGGCUGAAACUCAAAGGAAUUGACGGGGGCCCGCACAAGCGGUGGAGCAUGUGGUUUAAUUCGAAGCUACGCGAAGAACCUUACCAGGUCUUGACAUACUAUGCAAAUCUAAGAGAUUAGACGUUCCCUUCGGGGACAUGGAUACAGGUGGUGCAUGGUUGUCGUCAGCUCGUGUCGUGAGAUGUUGGGUUAAGUCCCGCAACGAGCGCAACCCUUAUUAUCAGUUGCCAGCAUUAAGUUGGGCACUCUGGUGAGACUGCCGGUGACAAACCGGAGGAAGGUGGGGAUGACGUCAAAUCAUCAUGCCCCUUAUGACCUGGGCUACACACGUGCUACAAUGGAUGGUACAACGAGUUGCGAACUCGCGAGAGUAAGCUAAUCUCUUAAAGCCAUUCUCAGUUCGGAUUGUAGGCUGCAACUCGCCUACAUGAAGUCGGAAUCGCUAGUAAUCGCGGAUCAGCAUGCCGCGGUGAAUACGUUCCCGGGCCUUGUACACACCGCCCGUCACACCAUGAGAGUUUGUAACACCCAAAGUCGGUGGGGUAACCUUUUAGGAACCAGCCGCCUAAGUGACGA